AAUAAAUGGGACUAAAUACGAGCCGGUGACGUUAAACGAAUCGGAGGCACGCAUGAUCGCUAGAUAGUCGGAGCAGAGCAGAGCAUAGCAGAGCGUAGUUGAGGCUGCGACAAAGGCGUUUGCAACAUACGCGACUUGUAUACGUUGCUUUAUCUGUCUGUUAAUAAAAGCCAAUUGAAGGCAAGUGAAAUUACGCAUGCGCAAAUUGAAUUUGAUGUCUUUCAAUGCAAAUUGAAUUUUAACUGCCCCAAAACUACAACAACAACAACAAC
Molecule: long non-coding RNA, 272 nt
Organism: Drosophila arizonae
Lineage: Eukaryota; Metazoa; Arthropoda; Insecta; Diptera; Drosophilidae
Source: RefSeq, a predicted model, not a curated record